This is a non-coding RNA of Nerophis lumbriciformis (worm pipefish), 877 nucleotides long. The record is from RefSeq and is a predicted model, not a curated record. Lineage: Eukaryota; Metazoa; Chordata; Actinopteri; Syngnathiformes; Syngnathidae.
CUCAAGCCUGGUGAAAACCCACCUGAGCCUGUCAGAACACCACCAACCGGUCUAUUUGAAGACCCACCUGUGGAUGAACCCGAGCUCCUUGACCAAGCAGAGGCAUUACCCUGCCAAAUCGAGCCGUUGCUCAGUCCAGCAGAAUUACCACUUGAAGCUGCGAACUUGCCUGAUCGUGUCGUUGAAACCACGCCUGAGAUCAGUCAUCCUAGUCGUCAGCGUCAACCUCCUAAUCGCCUUCAAUAUGCGGUGUUAGGUAAUCCUCUCAUUUCCGUUGUUCAGACGUUAUUUCAUGGUUUAGUCAAUGCCUAUGACGAAGCGUUCACUACCUAUGCAGCAAACAACCUUUUGAAAUCGGAUGUUCGUGACGUUUAGCAUGCAUCAGGAGUUGCAUGAUCUAAAGGGGGGAGGAUGUAACCCGGGUGACAAAACCCCAUUUAAAUAUCCUGUCUAUUUAUUUUCCGUCGUCUAAGCUGUUAUUGCGUGCGUCAUUACGUCACGCGGUCACGUGACUUGCGUGCGUCAUUACGUCACGCGGUCACGUGACUUAACGCGGCUGUCAGACGAGCAUAAAACCCGGAAGUCGGCUGCUACCGGUGAGAGCGAGAGGGACACACUGUGAGGUUGCUGCAGGAGCCGACUACCGGAGCCGUGGGUCGUCCGCGGCAGUGUUUGAGAGUGAUUUAUCUGCGGAAUUGGCCAGGUUGGAUGGCGAGCUAUAGAGCCCUGAACUAGAGUCUGAAGCUUUAUGCCUGGAACCGAACUAGCUGAACUGAAUCCACCCAACCGAACCCCGGGCUGGUAGGAGGCUUCUCGGCAGCCGCCCUCUGUUUUCCCUUCUUUUUGCCAAAACGCAACGAGUUCAUUGCAGUCCUCC